This 514-nucleotide ribosomal RNA is filed under the name uncultured bacterium. Its description in RNAcentral is "partial 16S ribosomal RNA". It matches the Rfam family "Bacterial small subunit ribosomal RNA", at positions 29 to 523 of the family's 1533-position model. The record is from RNAcentral.
AGCGAACGCUGGCGGCGUGCUUAACACAUGCAAGUCGAACGUGAAAUGUAGCAAUACAGAGUAAAGUGGCGUACGGGUGAGUAACACGUGGGUAAUCUACUAAAGAGCCUGGAAUAACUGACCGAAAGGUUGGCUAAUACUGGAUAGUUCAAAUGAAAUAUAAUGUUUCGAUUGGGAAAGGGAGCGAGCAAUCGCCUUCACUUUUUGAUGAGCCCGCGUCUGAUUAGCUAGUUGGUAGGGUAAUGGCCUACCAAGGCGACGAUCAGUAGCUGGUCUGAGAGGAUGAUCAGCCACACUGGAACUGAAACACGGUCCAGACUCCUACGGGAGGCAGCCGUGGGGAAUCUUGCGCAAUGGACGAAAGUCUGACGCAGCCACGCCGCGUGAGUGAAGAAGGCCUUCGGGUUGUAAAGCUCUGUCGGAAGGGACAAAAACGUUUAAGGUUAAUAGCCUUAGAUCUUGAUGGUACCUUCAAAGGAAGCACCGGCUAACUUCGUGCCAGCCGCCGCCGUAA